RNAcentral lists this non-coding RNA (30 nucleotides) under Mus musculus (house mouse). The record is from RNAcentral. Lineage: Eukaryota; Metazoa; Chordata; Mammalia; Rodentia; Muridae.
UCUAGAUACAUAAUCUCUCAAAAAAGGCAG